GUGACUAAUAAUCAUGGUUCAUGACGGUAUCAACAGAAGAAGCACCGGCUAACUACGUGCCAGCAGCCGCGGUAAUACGUAGGGUGCAAGCGUUAAUCGGAAUUACUGGGCGUAAAGGGUGCGCAGGCGGUUCUGUAAGUCAGAUGUGAAAUCCCCGGGCUUAACCUGGGAACUGCGUUUGAAACUGCAGAGCUAGAGUGCGGCAGAGGGAGGUGGAAUUCCAUGUGUAGCAGUGAAAUGCGUAGAGAUAUGGAAGAACAUCGAUGGCGAAGGCAACCUCCUGGGCUAGCACUGACGCUCAUGCACGAAAGCGUGGGGAGCAAACAGGAUUAGAUACCCUGGUAGUCCACGCCCUAAACUAUGUCAACUAGUUGUCGGGCCUUAAUAGGCUUGGUAACGUAGCUAACGCGUGAAGUUGACCGCCUGGGGAGUACGGUCGCAAGAUUAAAACUCAAAGGAAUUGACGGGG
Molecule: ribosomal RNA, 469 nt
Filed under: uncultured bacterium
Lineage: Bacteria
Description: bacterial SSU rRNA
Rfam family: Bacterial small subunit ribosomal RNA
Source: RNAcentral